Molecule: transfer RNA, 28 nt
Filed under: Plethodon yonahlossee (Yonahlossee salamander)
Lineage: Eukaryota; Metazoa; Chordata; Amphibia; Caudata; Plethodontidae
Description: partial transfer RNA-Leu
Source: RNAcentral
GCUUAGGUGGCAGAGCCGGCAAUUGCAA